This 354-nucleotide ribosomal RNA is filed under the name Triticum aestivum (bread wheat). Its description in RNAcentral is "partial small subunit ribosomal RNA". The record is from RNAcentral. Lineage: Eukaryota; Viridiplantae; Streptophyta; Magnoliopsida; Poales; Poaceae.
ACAGAAGAAGAGACCAAGAUGAAGGAGUCUGAGCUAAUGCGAGGAAACCCGCUGAUCAAUAUGAAUAACUUCUGCUCCUUCGACAUUAGGUGGGAGGAUGAUGAUGAUGUUGUAUUUAAGAUGCAGGGUCAUGGAGAGACCAAGACACCGAAACGGUUCAUCAACUACACUGUCAUAAGUGAUUUCCACCGCAAGUUUCUGCAUAGGUAACUGAAAUGUUGUUGUUGUAUGCUUUAUGUCGCCUGGACAGUUUGCAUGCUGGUGUUGGAAGAGCCUGUGAUGUUCUUUAUUCUGAAGACUAAUUUGUAUGACAUACAUAACUGUAACAUCCACGAUAUCUUGAUGCUGAUAUGA